GUGGAAUGUUUAAGGUAAUUGUAUUUGGGAUUAAUUGGAGUAUUGAAAUGAUGAUCAAAUGUGAAAUGACACGUUCACGUUACAAUGACCGAUGUUUAUUCACAACAUUGUCAGGCCAGAUAACCAUGUCCAUGUUUGACUUGUGUCAGUGACCAUGUGAUUCAAGGCUUCCAUUGCUGUGGAGUGCAUUGAACGACAUCAUGGCCUAGAAGAACAUACCCGGGGAUAAUACCAGCAGCAACAAGUAUCACGCAACCGCCAAAAUGCACGCCGCCAUUUUGAAGCAUG
Molecule: long non-coding RNA, 288 nt
Organism: Dreissena polymorpha
Lineage: Eukaryota; Metazoa; Mollusca; Bivalvia; Myida; Dreissenidae
Exons: 3
Source: RefSeq, a predicted model, not a curated record